This 274-nucleotide ribosomal RNA is filed under the name uncultured bacterium. Its description in RNAcentral is "partial 16S ribosomal RNA". It matches the Rfam family "Archaeal small subunit ribosomal RNA", at positions 473 to 747 of the family's 1478-position model. The record is from RNAcentral.
AAACCAGCACCUCAAGUGGUCAGGAUGAUUAUUGGGCCUAAAGCAUCCGUAGCCGGCUUAGCAAGUCUCCUGUUAAAUUCAGCGACCUAAUCGUUGAGCCGCGGGAGAUACUACUAGGCUAGGAGGCGGGAGAGGCCGACGGUACUUCCGGGGUAGGGGUGAAAUCCUAUAAUCCCGGGCGGACCACCAGUGGCGAAGGCUGUCGGCUAGAACGCGCUCGACGGUGAGGGACGAAAGCUGGGGGAGCGAACCGGAUUAGAUACCCGAGUAGUCC